AGUCGUCCACUGACGUCUUUUACACGUCUAGUCAAGGCUGUGAAUAGUCGUCCACUGACGUCUUUUACACGUCUAGUCAAGCAAAACAGAAAAAAACAGGAAUUAUCUUUAUGAAAUACACGAUUUGUAUACAAAGUACAUAUAUUUACUUUAUCUUGUUUAAAUAAAUUAUAAUUACACAGUGCCCAGUGUGGUUAAGUGAUUGCAAAGCCACUGCAUUUUAGUCAUUAUUUCAACCUGUUGUACCUGAUGUAUUUGGUUUUUUUUUUAUGGAAUGUAUGCAUAUACAUGUAAAAUAUAAAUAUAUCACCAUUUAUGUCUGAGUUGGAUGUAAUUGCCAUUGACAGGGAAACUGCUGCCAAGAUGUAGUAACAAAAGAUCUUGCGAUAUUACAAAAUCCCGCGAUAGGAUAGAUUAUCUCACGAGAUGUUAACGCGUUCUCCCCAUAGACUCUGGGACCCGGAACUUGAACAACCAUGAGGAGAGGAGGAAUUGAGUUGUAUCGAUAAUAUUAUUAAAAAUCUACUGUUGGAUGCUGUGGUGGAGCCCAAAUUCAACUGAAUCAGAAAUUGAUGCCGCUAUGGCGGAACACUUGAAACAUGCUCCAGGAAGAGCUGGGGGUGGGGGUUAUAAAAAAUAACUUUUCUGGUGCAAAAGAUGUUGCAAAAAGAUGUCUGCAAAAAGAUGUCUGGCAAAAGAUGCUACAUAAAGGGAGAUAUUUGUGACAGUGUUAUUGAACUGAACUAAAUUAACGGAAUUGAGCUAAAACUGAAUUUGUUUCGUGAUGAACACGUUUUUCCUGUUUCCCGGGUGAAUCUGUAUUAUAUAAACCAUAAAAUAAAUAAAUGUGAUUUGGAAUUUUG
Molecule: long non-coding RNA, 863 nt
Organism: Sander lucioperca (pikeperch)
Lineage: Eukaryota; Metazoa; Chordata; Actinopteri; Perciformes; Percidae
Exons: 2
Source: RefSeq, a predicted model, not a curated record